CGCAAGCCUGACGGAGCAAUACCGCGUGAGGGAGGAAGGCCUUUGGGUUGUAACCCCCUUUCCUAAAGGAAAAAACCCUAACGGACCUUAAGGAACCACCUCCGCUAACUCCCGGGCCACCACCCCCGGAAUACCGAAGAAGGCAGCCGUAUUCCGAAAUUAUGGGCCGAAAACCGCCCCCAGGCGGAUUAAUAAUCCGGCGGCCAAAAACCCCACUUCACUGGCGAAAAGGCAUGGAAACUGGUAAACUUAAAUAACGGAAGGGGAAAAGGAAAUUCCCAUGGAACCGUGAAAUGGCUAAAAGAUGGGAAAAACCACCAUGGGCAAAGCCCUCCUACGGGGCCGAACUUAACCCUCAGGAACAAAGCCAAGGGAACC
Molecule: ribosomal RNA, 378 nt
Filed under: uncultured cyanobacterium
Lineage: Bacteria; Bacillati; Cyanobacteriota
Description: bacterial SSU rRNA
Rfam family: Bacterial small subunit ribosomal RNA
Source: RNAcentral